AAUCAUUAAGAAUCAUUAUUUGCCAAGCUGAGUAUUACACAGUGCACAAAAUCAACUGCAUUGAUUGUGACGCAUCUUAUCAGUGGCCAGAUCAGCAGACAAUUGCAUACUAGAAUAUCUGAAUAUCGAAAUCAUAUCAGGAGGAAUAUAACAAAUCGCUCUGUGAUUACCGACUCGAGAAAGACUCGAUUUUGAUCACGAGUUCGAAUGAAAUGACGUCGAAAUUUUAGAUAUUUCACCUUGUCGCAUACAAAUGGAUACGUUAAUGCCUCGAGCAUUAUGUCUGAAUUAGACCAUCAGACUAAUACACUUUAAAUUCAGAAUCUUGCAGUUCUUAAUUUGAUUGUGAUAAGUUGAGACUCCGCUUAAUAUCUACUUCAUCAACUCUGCACUUCAUUUCGGACACAAGAAUAAACUUUCUCCUUUUUUAACAAUUUUUUAUCAUACAACUGAAUAUUAAAUAAUAAGAAAGAUGCAAGAGUUGCAUCGAGAAUUCAGUAAUUAUCGUGGGCCGAAUUGAAGAAAGAGACAGUUUGGACGUAUUUAUUAAUUUUUAAUCAUUGACUUCUUUAUUGAUUUUAUAAUUAUUAUUUCGUUCUUUUCUUUCCGUAUUUGUAUUACCGUAUUUGUAUUGUCCUUGUUGAUUUGGGCCGAUUGCGUUUAGAUUACAAUUUUGUUAAAUAGCGGUAAAGAUGAUUCAAAAAAGGAUCGAAACGCAUUUUUUUUUACCGUUAUUAAUCAAUAAAUAUAUUGUUUUUGCGGUCUAUAUUCUGCACCUGGCUCCUUGCGUCGCUUAUCCCGUUAUUAAUUUUUUUACUAACGGAGCCUCUCUUUAUUAUAUUUAAUAUUUAUUAACAUAUCUAUAAAAGAAAAAAGAGAAACCAUUUGCCAAAAUUGAAGUACAGAAUAGAAAAAAUUUUGCUAAAUUGGAGGUUAGGUCUGUCCUUCCUAUUGCAGAA
Cataglyphis hispanica is the source of this 959-nucleotide long non-coding RNA. RefSeq lists it as uncharacterized. The transcript is spliced from 3 exons. The record is from RefSeq and is a predicted model, not a curated record. NCBI's taxonomy places the organism in Eukaryota, Metazoa, Arthropoda, Insecta, Hymenoptera, Formicidae.